ACGAACGCUGGCGGCGUGCUUAACACAUGCAAGUCGAACGGAAAGGCCCUUCGGGGUACUCGAGUGGCGAACGGGUGAGUAACACGUGGGUGAUCUGCCCUGCACUUUGGGAUAAGCCUGGGAAACUGGGUCUAAUACCGAAUAUACCUUGCUGGAUGCAUGUCUGGUGGGGGAAAGCUUUUGCGGUGUGGGAUGGGCCCGCGGCCUAUCAGCUUGUUGGUGGGGUGAUGGCCUACCAAGGCGACGACGGGUAGCCG
This 257-nucleotide ribosomal RNA is filed under the name Mycobacterium sp. ISOM123_OTU181. Its description in RNAcentral is "partial 16S ribosomal RNA". It matches the Rfam family "Bacterial small subunit ribosomal RNA", at positions 29 to 289 of the family's 1533-position model. Lineage: Bacteria; Bacillati; Actinomycetota; Actinomycetes; Mycobacteriales; Mycobacteriaceae. RNAcentral also lists the same sequence under 1 other name. The record is from RNAcentral.